RNAcentral lists this ribosomal RNA (484 nucleotides) under uncultured bacterium. RNAcentral describes it as "partial 16S ribosomal RNA". It matches the Rfam family "Bacterial small subunit ribosomal RNA", at positions 30 to 507 of the family's 1533-position model. The record is from RNAcentral.
AUUGAACGCUGGCGGCAUGCCUUACACAUGCAAGUCGAACGGCAGCACGGACUUCGGUCUGGUGGCGAGUGGCGAACGGGUGAGUAAUGUAUCGGAACGUACCUUUCAGUGGGGGAUAACGUAGCGAAAGUUACGCUAAUACCGCAUAUUCCGUGAGCAGGAAAGCAGGGGAUCGAAAGACCUUGCGCUGAUUGAGCGGCCGAUAUCAGAUUAGCUAGUUGGUGGGGUAAAGGCCUACCAAGGCGACGAUCUGUAGCGGGUCUGAGAGGAUGAUCCGCCACACUGGAACUGAGACACGGUCCAGACUCCUACGGGAGGCAGCAGUGGGGAAUUUUGGACAAUGGGGGCAACCCUGAUCCAGCCAUGCCGCGUGAGUGAAGAAGGCCUUCGGGUUGUAAAGCUCUUUCGGCCGGGAAGAAAUCGCAUAGGCUAAUACCCUGUGUGGAUGACGGUACCGGAAUAAGAAGCACCGGCUAACUACGUG